GGGACACGCCCACCCCACCCAAACUGCCCCAGCUUGCAAGGAAGACCUUCCCCCAAGUGGUGAAGACCCCACCCAAGUGGUGAAGUUCCGACAGGAACUUUAGGAAAGGCCCAAACAAGCAGCAGCUGCUCCUCUGCUCUGCCUGCUCAGGGCCGCAGCAGGAGCCCCCACAGCUGCCAACGGAGCCGAAGUGGGAAGGGCACCUGGAGCUUCUCCAGAAGCUGCCACGGCCUCUUUGGGACCAAUUCCAGUGCUGGGUGGCUCUCACACACGCCAGGGGUGUGACGCAGACAUGGGACGUGUGGCCCAGAGCACGAAUGCUGCUCUGACUCCUGGCGAGUGCUGACAUCAGCAGGAGGCUGCAGGCAGGAGCAUCUGGAGCAGCACUUGGUAGCCGCACUUGGUAUCUGUCAGAAGCUGUUGCUCUUACCUGAAAUGAUUUUUGCUUGGAAGUGAUAAUCUGCAGCAGAGAAACACCAUCCACUGUUGACUUCCAGAGGACAGUUACAGAGAUACUGUCAA
Molecule: non-coding RNA, 522 nt
Organism: Taeniopygia guttata (zebra finch)
Lineage: Eukaryota; Metazoa; Chordata; Aves; Passeriformes; Estrildidae
Source: RefSeq, a predicted model, not a curated record